This 477-nucleotide ribosomal RNA is filed under the name uncultured organism. Its description in RNAcentral is "partial 16S ribosomal RNA". It matches the Rfam family "Bacterial small subunit ribosomal RNA", at positions 331 to 799 of the family's 1533-position model. The record is from RNAcentral.
GUACACUCCUGCGGGAGGCAGCAGUGGGGAAUAUUGCACAAUGGGCGCAAGCCUGAUGCAGCCAUGCCGCGUGUAUGAAGAAGGCCUUCGGGUUGUAAAGUACUUUCAGCGGGGAGGAAGGCGAUAAGGUUAAUAACCUUGUUGAUUGACGUUACCCGCAGAAGAAGCACCGGCUAACUCCGUGCCAGCAGCCGCGGUAAUACGGAGGGUGCAAGCGUUAAUCGGAAUUACUGGGCGUAAAGCGCACGCAGGCGGUCUGUCAAGUCGGAUGUGAAAUCCCCGGGCUCAACCUGGGAACUGCAUUCGAAACUGGCAGGCUAGAGUCUUGUAGAGGGGGGUAGAAUUCCAGGUGUAGCGGUGAAAUGCGUAGAGAUCUGGAGGAAUACCGGUGGCGAAGGCGGCCCCCUGGACAAAGACCGACGCUCAGGUGCGAAAGCGUGGGGAGCAAACAGGAUUAGAUACCCUUGUAGUCCCAUG